AUGUUCUUGCCGCCAGGCUUGAAGCAGUCACUUCAAUGGAAAGCUCUGUGGUCCCUGCCAGCUUCUCUGGUCCACAGAUGUCUCAGGAUGCAGCCCCACCCUCCUUGGUCACAGCAGUGGGAUUUGCAAAUGAGCAGCACACCAGAGUUAUACCCAACCUUAAGGUGGACUUCAACAGAAGGUACCAAAGAAACCUGCAGACUUUGUAUAUUUACCCAGGGAUCACUUUUCUGGUGGUGAGAUGUAACCAGCUCUUUUGUGGAAUGGAGUAAUCACUGCCUGCCAGUAACACAACGCUACGAUGUGGAGAGAAGGAAAUGAAGGCUAGCUCAUCCAAAGGAAACUACAGGGGGAGUUUAGAUCGGCAGAAUGCAAUUACCCAAGUUGGAAUUCUUCCAAGACACCAAGGUAAACUCUAAAAGUGUGCAAAUAGAAUAGCAUUUCUCCACAAUUGCAGGACAACCAGCCACAUCUGUGACAAGAUGGGUGCUUGCUCUAUUUAUUUAUCUUUACUUUGUGAAUACUACUGUCCAAGUGCUGGCUACUGUCAUAGGAAAUGGAUAGUGUACACCAUUGGAUCAGAAUCAGAGGGACCAGAUCUAUUAACGGGCACCUCAGCUAUCCAAAAAGCAAAAGAAGACAUUUUUAGAAUCUGUUCCAAGAUGCAAUGAAUUUGUUGACUGGGUACUUAGGGAUACUCUGUUUUCCAGCCCCUCCUGCAUCUAUGUGUGACCACAUGAAUGAGUUCUGGCCGAUGGAGUGUGGAUGGAAAUCUAGACUUCUAGUCUGACCAUAAAAUACAUUUUUUCAUUUGUUCUCCUCUUCCUCUCCCCUCCCUCCUUCUCUCUCUCUCUCUCUCUCUCACACACACACACACACACACACACGUAUUCAUCUGAAAAUGAAGAAUUCAAAGAUCGUGGAUUAAGGAGUUCAACCCCACAAGUCCCUGUUUAGAGGACAGCUGUACAGAAAAGACACCGAAUCAUGAGCAAGAAAGCAAAACUGUGUCAAAAUGGGAGAGCUUUUGUUACAUCAGCUAGAGGUACCUUGACAUAUAUAUGUCUAUUAUAGAAAGGGAAUUCCUUCAAAUUCCAGAGUUAAGAAAAUCGAAAAGUCAGUCAACAAAGCUGGAGACAUAAUGAACAACAAUGAAGUCCUUGCUCUUACGAUGUGUAUGUUUUCAGUGGAUAUGACAAAUAAUGUGCAAUAAGCAUAAAUCAACAAGUAGAACAACUGA
RNAcentral lists this long non-coding RNA (1240 nucleotides) under Oryctolagus cuniculus (rabbit). RNAcentral's name for it is "lncRNA (ENSOCUG00000038171.1)". Lineage: Eukaryota; Metazoa; Chordata; Mammalia; Lagomorpha; Leporidae. The record is from RNAcentral.